CAGUAGCCACGGGAAUACGAAGGGGGCUAGCGUUGCUCGGAAUGACUGGGCGUAAAGGGCGCGUAGGCGGAUAGUACAGUCAGAUGUGAAAUUCCUGGGCUCAACCUGGGGGCUGCAUUUGAUACGUGCUGUCUUGAGUUCGGAAGAGGGUCGUGGAAUUCCCAGUGUAGAGGUGAAAUUCGUAGAUAUUGGGAAGAACACCGGUGGCGAAGGCGGCGACCUGGUCCGAUACUGACGCUGAGGCGCGAAAGCGUGGGGAGCAAACAGGAUUAGAUACCCCCGUAGUCCCUGUCUCUUAUAC
This 301-nucleotide ribosomal RNA is filed under the name uncultured bacterium. Its description in RNAcentral is "partial 16S ribosomal RNA". It matches the Rfam family "Bacterial small subunit ribosomal RNA", at positions 509 to 807 of the family's 1533-position model. The record is from RNAcentral.